GAGGGUAUAGAUCAGUGGAAGAGUGCAUGCUUAGCAUGCGUGAUGUCCUGGGUUCAAUUCCCAGUACCUCCU
RNAcentral lists this transfer RNA (72 nucleotides) under Camelus bactrianus (Bactrian camel). It matches the Rfam family "tRNA". Rfam says of the family: Transfer RNA (tRNA) molecules are approximately 80 nucleotides in length. Their secondary structure includes four short double-helical elements and three loops (D, anti-codon, and T loops). The record is from Rfam by way of RNAcentral. RNAcentral also lists the same sequence under 2 other names. Lineage: Eukaryota; Metazoa; Chordata; Mammalia; Artiodactyla; Camelidae.